AUGCGAGUUGUGCGGGUUCAGACCCGCAGCGAACGGCUCCGUAACACGUGGUCAAGCUACCCUGCGGACUGGGACACUCUCGGGAAACUGAGGCUAAUCCCAGAUAGCGUUUCCAGCCUGGAGUGGCGGAAACGCCAAACGCUCCGGCGCCACAGGAUGCGACUGCGGCCGAUUAGGUAGACGGUGGGGUAACGGCCCACCGUGCCGAUAAUCGGUACGGGUAGUGAGAGCUAGAGCCCGGAGACGGACUCUGAGACAAGAGUCCGGGCCCUACGGGGCGCAGCAGGCGCGAAACCUUUACACUGCGCGACAGCGCGAUAGGGGGAUCCCAAGUGCGAGGGCAUACAGUCCUCGCUUUUUCCUACCGUAAGGUGGUAGGCGAAUAAGAGCUGGGCAAGACCGGUGCCAGCCGCCGCGGUAAUACCGGCAGCUCAAGUGAUGGCCACUAUUAUUGGGCCUAAAGCGUCCGUAGCUGGCUAGACAGGUCCGUCGGGAAAUCCACCCGCUCAACGGGUGGGCGUCCGGCGGAAACCAGCUAGCUUGGGACCGAGCGACCUGAGGGGUACGUCCGGGGUAGGAGUGAAAUCCCGUAAUCCCGGACGGACCAUCGGUGGCGAAAGCGCCUCAGGAGAGCGGAUCCGACAGUGAGGGACGAAAGCUAGGGUCUCGAACCGGAUUAGAUACCCGGGUAGUCCUAGCCGUAAACGAUGCUCGCUAGGUGUGGCGCUGGCUACGAGCCAGCGCUGUGCCGUAGGGAAGCCGUGAAGCGAGCCGCCUGGGAAGUACGUCCGCAAGGAUGAAACUUAAAGGAAUUGGCGGGGGAGCACUACAACCGGAGGAGCCUGCGGUUUAAUUGGACUCAACGCCGGACAUCUCACCGGCACCGACUGUAGUAAUGACGGUCAGGUUGAUGACCUUGCCACGAGUUACAGAGAGGAGGUGCAUGGCCGCCGUCAGCUCGUACCGUGAGGCGUCCUGUUAAGUCAGGCAACGAGCGAGACCCGUGUCCCUAAUUGCCAGCAACACCGAGAGGUGGUUGGGUACAUUAAGGAGACUGCCGCUGCUAAAGCGGAGGAAGGAACGGGCAACGGUAGGUCAGUAUGCCCCGAAUGUGCCGGGCUACACGCGGGCUACAAUGGCCGGGACAGUGGGAUGCAACACCGAGAGGUGGAGCUAAUCUCCGAAACCCGGUCGUAGUUCGGAUUGCGGGUUGAAACUCACCCGCAUGAAGCUGGAUUCGGUAGUAAUCGCGUCUCAGAAGGACGCGGUGAAUACGUCCCUGCUCCUUGCACACACCGCCCGUCAAAGCACCCGAGUGAGGUCCGGAUGAGGCCGGCGCAACGCCGGUCGAAUCUGGGCUUCGCAAGGGGGC
Molecule: ribosomal RNA, 1372 nt
Filed under: Halococcus sp.
Lineage: Archaea; Methanobacteriati; Methanobacteriota; Halobacteria; Halobacteriales; Halococcaceae
Description: bacterial SSU rRNA
Rfam family: Archaeal small subunit ribosomal RNA
Source: RNAcentral